UCGGAUGUGGUGCACGGUGCACGCCCACUCUCCCUGGCCGGAAAUUAAAAUAGGUUACGUGGGAGACCUGGGUUCGACUCCCGGCGUCCGAA
Mycena rosella is the source of this 92-nucleotide non-coding RNA. The record is from the annotation of a GenBank genome assembly. Lineage: Eukaryota; Fungi; Basidiomycota; Agaricomycetes; Agaricales; Mycenaceae.